GACGAACCGUCCAAACGUUAUUCGGAAUCACUGGGCUUAAAGGGUGCGUAGGCGGCGCGGAAAGUUGGGUGUGAAAUCCCUCGGCUCAACCGAGGAACUGCGCCCAAAACUACCGUGCUCGAGGGAGAUAGAGGUGAGCGGAACUUAGGGUGGAGCGGUGAAAUGCGUUGAUAUCCUAAGGAACACCGGUGGCGAAAGCGGCUCACUGGAUCUCUUCUGACGCUGAGGCACGAAAGCUAGGGUAGCGAAC
This 250-nucleotide ribosomal RNA is filed under the name uncultured bacterium. RNAcentral's name for it is "partial 16S ribosomal RNA". It matches the Rfam family "Bacterial small subunit ribosomal RNA", at positions 524 to 773 of the family's 1533-position model. The record is from RNAcentral.